This 1506-nucleotide ribosomal RNA is filed under the name metagenome. RNAcentral describes it as "bacterial LSU rRNA". It matches the Rfam family "Bacterial large subunit ribosomal RNA", at positions 1393 to 2925 of the family's 2925-position model. The record is from RNAcentral.
UAGGCGAGGACGAGAGUCGUAGCCGAUGGACAACAGGUGGAGAUUCCUGUACUGCGGUAUGACAGAACUGUGGGGACACGUAAGGAAAGCGGAAGCCGGGAAUGGAAAGCCCGGUGCAAGCGGGGUACCAGCCACUCUGGCAAAUCCGGGUGGCAAUGGGAAGCCGUGAUGCGGAGUGAAAUAAAGUAACGAAGUCCGUGAGCCAUGCGUCAAGAAAAGCCGCUAUUGUUUAUACCGUACCCGUACCGUAAACCGACACAGGUGGAUGAGGAGAGAAUCCUAAGGCCGGCGGAAGAAGCAUUGUCAAGGAACUCGGCAAAAUGGCCCCGUAACUUAGGGAUAAGGGGUGCCUGGGAAACCAGGCCGCAGAGAAUAGGCUCAAGCAACUGUUUAGCAAAAACACAGGUCUAUGCGAAACCGAAAGGUGAGGUAUAUGGGCUGACGCCUGCCCGGUGCUGGAAGGUUAAGAGGAGAGGUUAGCGCAAGCGAAGCUUUGAAUUUAAGCCCCAGUAAACGGCGGCCGUAACAAUAACGGUCCUAAGGUAGCGAAAUUCCUUGUCGGGUAAGUUCCGACCCGCACGAAAGGCGUAAUGAUUUGAGCGCUGUCUCGACAAUGCAUCCGGUGAAAUUGAAGUACCAGUGAAGAUGCUGGUUACCUGCGCCAGGACGGAAAGACCCCAUGGAGCUUUACUCCAGUUUGGUACUGGGACUCGGUAUUGCAUGUACAGGAUAGGUGGGAGGCUGAGAGACAGUAACGCCAGUUAUUGUGGAGCCGCUGUUGGGAUACCACCCUUGCAGUAUUGGGUUUCUAACCAGCCGCCGUGACCCGGCGGUGGGACAAUGCCAGACGGGGAGUUUGACUGGGGCGGUCGCCUCCGAAAGGGUAUCGGAGGCGCCCAAAGGUUCCCUCAGAAUGGACGGAAACCAUUCGAAGAGUGCAAAGGCAGAAGGGAGCUUGACUGCGACACCGACGGGUGGAGCUGGUACGAAAGUAGGGCUUAGUGAUCCGGUGGUAUUAAGUGGGAAUGCCAUCGCUCAACGGAUAAAAGCUACCCUGGGAUAACAGGCUUAUCACUCCCAAGAGUUCACAUCGACGGAGUGGUUUGGCACCUCGAUGUCGGCUCAUCGCAUCCUGGGGCUGUAGUAGGUCCCAAGGGUUGGGCUGUUCGCCCAUUAAAGCGGUACGCGAGCUGGGUUCGGAACGUCGUGAGACAGUUCGGUCCCUAUCCGGCGUGGGCGUAGGAUAUCUGAGAGGAGCUGUCCUUAGUACGAGAGGACCGGGAUGGACGGGCCGCUGGUGCAUCGGUUAGACUGCCAAGUCUACGGCCGAGUAGCCAAGCCCGGAAGGGAUAAACGCUGAAGGCAUCUAAGCGUGAAGCCCCCCUUAAGAUGAGAUAUCCCAUUCGAAAGAAGUAAACCCCCUUGAAGACGACGAGGUAGAUAGGGCAGAGGUGGAAGUGUGGCAACACAUGGAGCUGACUGUUACUAAUCGGGUGAGGGCUUGAC